RNAcentral lists this ribosomal RNA (238 nucleotides) under uncultured bacterium. Its description in RNAcentral is "partial 16S ribosomal RNA". It matches the Rfam family "Bacterial small subunit ribosomal RNA", at positions 524 to 761 of the family's 1533-position model. The record is from RNAcentral.
UACAGGGGGUGCAAACGUUGCUCGGAAUCAUUGGGCGUAAAGCGCACGUAGGCGGUUCGUUAUGUCGGAUGUGAAAGCCCUUGGCUUAACCGAGGAAGUGCAUCCGAAACUGGCGAGCUAGAGUACGAAAGAGGAUCGCGGAAUUCCCGGUGUAGAGGUGAAAUGCGUAGAGAUCGGGAGGAACACCAGUGGCGAAGGCGGCCGGCUGGGGGUGACCUGACGCUGAGGCGCGAAAGCG